RNAcentral lists this ribosomal RNA (475 nucleotides) under uncultured bacterium. RNAcentral describes it as "partial 16S ribosomal RNA". It matches the Rfam family "Bacterial small subunit ribosomal RNA", at positions 29 to 523 of the family's 1533-position model. The record is from RNAcentral.
AGUGAACGCUGGCGGCGUGCCUAACACAUGCAAGUCGAACGAUGAAGAGCAGCUUGCUGCUCGGAUUAGUGGCGCACGGGUGAGUAACGCAUAGGUAAUGUGCCCCUUAGUCUGGGAUAGCCACUGGAAACGGUGAUUAAUACUAGAUACUCCUUCUUAUCAUAAGGUAAGUCGGGAAAGUUUUUCGCUAAGGGAUCAGCCUAUGUUCCAUCAGGUAGUUGGGGAGGUAACGGCUCACCAAGCCAAUGACGGAUAUCUGGUUUGAGAGGAUGAGCAGACACACUGGAGCUGAGACACAGUCCAGACUCCUACGGGAGGCAGCAGUGAGGAAUAUUGCAAAAUGGAGGAAACUCUGAUGCAGCAACGCCGCGUGGAGGAUGACGCAUUUCGGUGUGUAAACUCCUUUUAAGAGGGAAGAUAAUGACGGUACCUCUUGAAUAAGCACCGGCUAACUCCGUGCCAGCCGCCGCAGUAA